RNAcentral lists this ribosomal RNA (677 nucleotides) under Peribacillus simplex. RNAcentral's name for it is "bacterial SSU rRNA". It matches the Rfam family "Bacterial small subunit ribosomal RNA", at positions 44 to 703 of the family's 1533-position model. Lineage: Bacteria; Bacillati; Bacillota; Bacilli; Caryophanales; Bacillaceae. The record is from RNAcentral.
UUGGAGACUAUAAUGCCGUCGAUCGCAUCGCUGGUCGCUUGCUCACUUAGCUUAGCUUCGGACGGGUGAGUAACACGUGGGCAACCUGCCUAUAAGACUGGGAUAACUUCGGGAAACCGGAGCUAAUACCGGAUACGUUCUUUUCUCGCAUGAGAGAAGAUGGAAAGACGGUUUACGCUGUCACUUAUAGAUGGGCCCGCGGCGCAUUAGCUAGUUGGUGAGGUAAUGGCUCACCAAGGCGACGAUGCGUAGCCGACCUGAGAGGGUGAUCGGCCACACUGGGACUGAGACACGGCCCAGACUCCUACGGGAGGCAGCAGUAGGGAAUCUUCCGCAAUGGACGAAAGUCUGACGGAGCAACGCCGCGUGAACGAAGAAGGCCUUCGGGUCGUAAAGUUCUGUUGUUAGGGAAGAACAAGUACCAGAGUAACUGCUGGUACCUUGACGGUACCUAACCAGAAAGCCACGGCUAACUACGUGCCAGCAGCCGCGGUAAUACGUAGGUGGCAAGCGUUGUCCGGAAUUAUUGGGCGUAAAGCGCGCGGCAGGUGGUUCCUUAAGUCUGAUGUGAAAGCCCACGGCUCAACCGUGGAGGGUCAUUGGAAACUGGGGAACUUGAGUGCAGAAGAGGAAAGUGGAAUUCCAAGUGUAGCGGUGAAAUGCGUAGAGAUUUGGAG